AGGAAGCCCUUUGGCCUUGGCGGCCCGCCCCCGCCAGGUCAAAAGCAAGCCAGACGAGGCGCUAUUGAAGUGAAAUGGGACAAAGCUUCGCGCCGCAUGCGCGCGCGAAGAAAAAAAAAACAGAAAAAAGAAAGAAACGUGAGGAGGGAGUCGUUCCCGCGGCGGCGCGAUCGUCGUACCAGCGCCUCGUCGUAGCAAGGCCGGCUAGGCCUUGUGAACGCCACUUCUCAAGUGAUCAGCUGUGUCGGUCGUGUGUGCGCGUUUUGUGCCUGCAGCCUCACUGUGUUCUCGCCGCUGGAUGUGAUAUGCGUGGUUUGACGACAGUGCGACAUGCUGCGCUGCGAGUGCGAUAAUCGCGACGGCCUGUCGACUCAAGCGAGCGUGCCGCUGUGCAUUACCAAGCAGAUGAUGGGCACCCUGCGUGCUCGGCACAGUCAGGAACAAAAAUGCAUCUACCUUGGAUGCAGUCAACUAGCCUGGACAUCUUUCUCCCGCCAUGCAACUGUGAGAACCCACCGAAGCACAGAUUGUCAGGAAGUGAAAAGACUUUUCGGCAACAAUGUUGCAUUGCGCACUCUGCCCGUCUCCUGAAAUAGCAUAUUAAGGUACAUAAGCACUGUACCUUCAUACAUAUGCAUCAAGGAACAGUGAAAUAGCAUAUCAAGGUACAUUAACAUCAUUAGCUUGGAUUCAUUUAACUAGAACGAAUAAAUCAUGUUAAAUGACGGCCAUAUCAUGUGACAGACAUCUGCUAAGUGCAGUGUGUAUUGUGAAGCACAUGUGUUUUAUGGUAUUGAAUGAAUGGAUAAAUGUUUAUUCCAGCAAAAUACAGGAAAUGGGCCUCAAGUGAAAAGCGACAAUGGUAGCUUGAGAAGUGUACAAGGCCCAGUAGAGCAAAAAGAGAGACAGAGCAGCGGAAACGUGUGCACGUUCAAAGGCAAAACAUAUACGCAUACAAAAAGAAACAGGAAAGACAAAGCAGAAGAAACGUGCACAUUCAAAGGCAAAACACCUACGCCAUCUGCAAAGUGACAAAAUCAAAAAGGGUGAACAUUUACGCUAGUGAAAACAAUGAAAAUCAGAAAACAGUGAAAACAGAAAAGAAGGAACAGCCAUUCAAUGGCAUGGAAGGAAUGCAACUUCAUUGGUCACGUAUCAACAGUGGAAUUUACAUGUGCAUAUUCUUAGCCAUUAGGAGAUGUGCAAGGCUAAUUUAAUCGCAUUGAUAUAAGUCAGCUGUUGAGUCUGUUGAACCAGAUUGUUGAAUCAUCUUGUUUAUUCCCUCUUGUUAAUUUGCUGUUUUGCAUUAUGUUGCCAUAGUUUUCAAGGUCAAUACAUAGUAUCAUGACUGUUGACACAAUUUGACAAGGUGAAAGCGCUGUUAUUGUGCCCAGGCCUUAGUUUAUCCUCACUAGAAGUGCGCUGUUUAUUUUUGCCAUGGUUCAGUGCCAAGUUGCCCAAUCUUCACUCCUAAGCAGAGUAGGUGCGGUUAAUCAAGACCUUGCUAAUAUUUACAACCCUUUUAAAGUGUACUUAUAAUGAUAACUUUACUGACAUCAAAAACUACCCACAUAAUGGUAAACAUGGCGAGAGUACACUUCUGGUGGUGUUUCGCAUUUUUUUUACAUCCGUUUGUUUUUCGCCCUGUGCACACGAAGUGAAAUGCUCACAAGGAAAUACUUAGCAGCAUCUCAAUGUUGUAUUUAUUUCGUGUUUUGACAAAAUGUCUGCGAUAAGGAUAGUCAAGUGCGAAUCUUUGGUAAGACAUUCAUUUUUAUGUGUACAGAAAUCUUAGUGGACUUAUUUUUUUGUAAUUUUCAGGAAUACACUUCUGGCAAAGCAGCAAGUGUUGCUUGCCCACCAGUCUGUGUUCAAGACAAGUGUAUUGUGGGCAUGAGUGUCGGCAGGAUUUUGUCUUGGGGGUGCAAGGCAGCGUAACGUGUCGGCCUAGUGAGCAGGAGAGCAUUGGUGUAGCUUGCGUGGGGGUCAAGUGCUGGUGUGUCUUGAUGGCGGCAGGUGCCCUUUGUGCAAACCCCUGCCGACACCCAUGAUUGUGGGAACACCCUGAUGUGCCUCACUUUACACUAUGUCGAACAGCUCGUACAUCUUACCACAUUUAGGCCAACACUGGUAUUGAUGCAAAGUGUUAUGCGCAAUGCUGCGUGAAACGUUUCUGAUAUCUUGUGCAUUUGAAAAUUUCGCAAUGUUUAAAAAGACGCUGAGUGGACCCAGUGUUAUUCAGCAAACAUAAGUCUUAACAGGGGCAGUUGGGUGAGUUGGUGUAUAUUCAUAGUUAAAGAGGGUGCAAAAAAAAUAACAGCACAGAGAAAUCAAGGGGACAGGAUGACGCGCUACUAGCAACUGAAGUUUAAUCGAAACCACAGAAAGAUGUAAACACACAGUACGAAAAAAUUACAAGACUAAACAAUCACACAUCCACAGAGGAAUGAAGGGGGCAGACAGGACAAUGCGCUACUAGUAACUGAAGUGUAAUCAAAACCACAGAAAGAUAUAAACACACAUGACUAAAAAAGCCAAGCACAUGUUCAACUUCAGUUGUUAGUAGUGUGUCGUUCCGUCCCCUUUGUUGCUCUGUGUUCUGACUUCGUUUUCACGUUUUCCUUACCUAUGAACUGAACUCCUGACUGUUUGACAGUCUCUAUAUAUGUGAGGUCAAUAUUUAUUCAUCCUCAUGGCAUUUCAAGUCCUAGGAUCCAAUGUGCAAAGCGAGCAGUCACUAUUUACAGGAAUUUUUUUAUUUAGUGCCUGUGAUUGCCUAAUUGCAAGUUGACGUCGCAGCCAUGGUGCUUGGAUUAUUUUCAAUGUGGUAAUUAUGCGUAAGCCAUCAAGUGAGGAAUUAAGGAUGAACUUUUGAGUUACAGGUGUUACAGAUGGCACUAGCUGGCAUAAAAACAUUGAAGCAUGGCUGUACUUGUUAUGCAUAUUAGAAGUAUUGGUACAUUGCAGUCAUGUGAUUAUGCCGACAAGUUCCCAAGCACACUUCCAGAAAUUUACGAUGGCUUCCAGGUAUCUGUGAGUAAAUAUGUACAGCAACAUAUAAAGGCAACCUUGUAAUUUUGUGGGCAUUGCUGAAUGCUUUUAUGCACCUUCGUAUGUGGACCUACAGUCAACACCACAGGUCUAUUUCGGGCUUUUUGUAGGAAACUCAACUCCAAAAUCAUGUGCGACAUGUUUUGAUGUCAUAGGGCAAACUAAUGCAAAAAAAAAACUGUACAACUGCCUGUCUACACGGUUUCAUAUUUCCCAAAAGUGAUGCUAGCCUUAUUGUACUAAUUUAAUUAGUUGCCUUCGUGUGUAGGCUGACACCAAGUUCCUUGGGUAGCUUAUUUUUUUGGAUUGUACUUACAUACUGGCACGGUGAAGUGCACACGUUAGUGCGCAUCAUGAUGAGAUUUUACACCCUACUUUCGUAUUGCUUUACUGCUGUGAAUUAUGUAUAGUGCUUAGGCUGUACUGUAUAUGUUGUUCCACGUAUUCAGUUUUGGGAGUAGGUUCUGUGCAUGACGAUGGAAAUAUAUACCUAUAUCCUUACAUUGACACGAGAACUGCUGCUGUUUUGAUUCCAAUAAAAUGUUGCAACAA
This is a long non-coding RNA of Rhipicephalus sanguineus (brown dog tick), 3603 nucleotides long. RefSeq lists it as uncharacterized. Lineage: Eukaryota; Metazoa; Arthropoda; Arachnida; Ixodida; Ixodidae. The record is from RefSeq and is a predicted model, not a curated record. The transcript has 2 exons.